This 439-nucleotide ribosomal RNA is filed under the name uncultured bacterium. Its description in RNAcentral is "partial 16S ribosomal RNA". It matches the Rfam family "Bacterial small subunit ribosomal RNA", at positions 338 to 795 of the family's 1533-position model. The record is from RNAcentral.
CCUACGGGAGGCAGCAGUAGGGAAUAUUGCUCAAUGGGGGAAACCCUGAAGCAGCAACGCCGCGUGGAGGAUGAAGGUUUUCGGAGUGUAAACUCCUUUUGUUAGAGAAGAUAAUGACGGUAUCUAACGAAUAAGCACCGGCUAACUCCGUGCCAGCAGCCGCGGUAAUACGGAGGGUGCAAGCGUUACUCGGAAUCACUGGGCGUAAAGAGCGCGUAGGCGGGAUAGCAAGUCAGAUGUGAAAUCCUAUGGCUUAACCAUAGAACUGCAUUUGAAACUGUUAUUCUAGAGUAUGGGAGAGGUAGGUGGAAUUCUUGGUGUAGGGGUAAAAUCCGUAGAGAUCAAGAGGAAUACUCAUUGCGAAGGCGACCUGCUAGAACAUAACGGACGCUGAUGCGCGAAAGCGUGGUGAGCAAACAGGAUUAGAUACCCCUUAGUC